UGGGGAAUAUUGCACAAUGGGCGCAAGCCUGAUGCAGCCAUGCCGCGUGUAUGAAGAAGGCCUUCGGGUUGUAAAGCACUUUCAGCGGGGAGGAAGGCGGUGAGGUUAAUAACCUCAUCGAUUGACGUUACCCGCAGAAGAAGCACCGGCUAACUCCGUGCCAGCAGCCGCGGUAAUACGGAGGGUGCAAGCGUUAAUCGGAAUUACUGGGCGUAAAGCGCACGCAGGCGGUCUGUCAAGUCGGAUGUGAAAUCCCCGGGCUCAACCUGGGAACUGCAUUCGAAACUGGCAGGCUAGAGUCUUGUAGAGGGGGGUAGAAUUCCAGGUGUAGCGGUGAAAUGCGUAGAGAUCUGGAGGAAUACCGGUGGCGAAGGCGGCCCCCUGGACAAAGACUGACGCUCAGGUGCGAAAGCGGGGGGAGCAAACAGG
This 429-nucleotide ribosomal RNA is filed under the name Chloroflexota bacterium. RNAcentral's name for it is "Chloroflexi bacterium partial 16S ribosomal RNA". It matches the Rfam family "Bacterial small subunit ribosomal RNA", at positions 355 to 776 of the family's 1533-position model. The record is from RNAcentral. Lineage: Bacteria; Bacillati; Chloroflexota.